AUGCGAUAAGUAAUGUGAAUUGCAGAAUUCAGUGAAUCAUCGAAUCUUUGAACGCACCUUGCGCUCCUUGGUAUUCCGAGGAGCAUGCCUGUUUGAGUGUCAUUAAAUUCUCAAUCCUUUCUGGGCUUUAUUCUCAGUUGGGCUUGGAUAUGGGGGACUGUUGCUGGCUUUGCAAAAAGUCAGCUCUCCUUAAAAUUAUUAGCAGGACAUUUGUUGCAACCUUCUAUCUGGUGUGAUAGUUAUCUACAUCAUAGAUUAUGUGCAGUUUAUUAUGUCUGGCUUCUAACAGUCCAAUUAACUUGGACAACACUCUGAUAAUUUGACCUCAAAUCAGGUAGGACUACCCGCUGAACUUAA
This 357-nucleotide unclassified non-coding RNA is filed under the name uncultured Melanoleuca. Its description in RNAcentral is "partial contains 5.8S ribosomal RNA, internal transcribed spacer 2, and large subunit ribosomal RNA". The stretch from base 1 to 102 matches the Rfam family "5.8S ribosomal RNA", at positions 53 to 154 of the family's 154-position model. The record is from RNAcentral. Lineage: Eukaryota; Fungi; Basidiomycota; Agaricomycetes; Agaricales; Pluteaceae.